RNAcentral lists this ribosomal RNA (552 nucleotides) under uncultured fungus. Its description in RNAcentral is "SSU rRNA". It matches the Rfam family "Eukaryotic small subunit ribosomal RNA", at positions 20 to 575 of the family's 1831-position model. The record is from RNAcentral. Lineage: Eukaryota; Fungi.
GUAGUCAUAUGCUUGUCUCAAAGAUUAAGCCAUGCAUGUCUAAGUAUAAGCAAUCUAUACAGUGAAACUGCGAAUGGCUCAUUAAAUCAGUUAUCGUUUAUUUGAUAGUACCUUACUACUUGGAUAACCGUGGUAAUUCUAGAGCUAAUACAUGCUAAAAACCCCGACUUCGGAAGGGGUGUAUUUAUUAGAUAAAAAACCAAUGCUCUUCGGGGCUCCUUGGUGAUUCAUAAUAACUUAACGAAUCGCAUGGCCUUGUGCCGGCGAUGGUUCAUUCAAAUUUCUGCCCUAUCAACUUUCGAUGGUAGGAUAGUGGCCUACCAUGGUUUCAACGGGUAACGGGGAAUUAGGGUUCUAUUCCGGAGAGGGAGCCUGAGAAACGGCUACCACAUCCAAGGAAGGCAGCAGGCGCGCAAAUUACCCAAUCCCGACACGGGGAGGUAGUGACAAUAAAUACUGAUACAGGGCUCUUUUGGGUCUUGUAAUUGGAAUGAGUACAAUUUAAAUCCCUCAACGAGGAACAAUUGGAGGGCAAGUCUGGUGCCAGCAGCC